Long non-coding RNA from Eptesicus fuscus (big brown bat), 343 nucleotides. RefSeq lists it as uncharacterized. The record is from RefSeq and is a predicted model, not a curated record. Lineage: Eukaryota; Metazoa; Chordata; Mammalia; Chiroptera; Vespertilionidae. The transcript has 3 exons.
UCUGAUUGAGCUACUAGAUACAACUACCGCUUUACAGGAAAUGCAGAGGACAGUGAUCACAUUAAAAGACACCACAUGAAUGCAGUCGGCAAAAUCCAGACUGGACAGCUCUACAAGAUAGAUGACCUUGUUUCUUCAACCAAAUUGAAACCAACAGUUAUGCAAAGCCACUGCCAACAUAACCAUGAGCUGCUGUGUGGAGUCUGAAGUACCUCAUGGAAAAAUAACUCUGAAUUGGAAUUCUUCCCAACAGCCAGAUUCGUUAAUGCUUUGACAACUGAGGCCUCAGCAGAUGUUCUCUUCUGGCAAAAAUCAAAGAAAGGAAAUCUACAGUAUCCUCUUG